This is a long non-coding RNA of Limulus polyphemus (Atlantic horseshoe crab), 953 nucleotides long. RefSeq lists it as uncharacterized. The transcript is spliced from 4 exons. The record is from RefSeq and is a predicted model, not a curated record. NCBI's taxonomy places the organism in Eukaryota, Metazoa, Arthropoda, Merostomata, Xiphosura, Limulidae.
CUGACGGGUAGUGUUUACAGCCGAAACGUCUCUCCGUUUAACGUUUCAGGUGUCUCUUCAAUCUACCUGUCUCAUUAUAAUCAACAAGUUUGGCUGUAUGAUGUUAUUUCUUUUCCUUGUGAGUGGUUGGCUAGUUAUAACACAGUGUUUUAACCAUGACAAAGGUGUCCUGUUGGAUCCAAGUAGUAGUGACCAGUAUUUGAAUCUGUAUACUCUCUACUUUUAAACUAACUUUCUUGUCCGCCUCUAGGUGUCCUGUUGGAUCCAAGUAGUAGUGACCAGUAUUUGAAUCUGUAUACUCUCCAACCCUUUCAUCGCACUUUGAUGCAACUACAUCCUGGUUACAAAAUAGGUUUGUUUACGUUUUUUUACCCACUGCCGUUUACUGACAUCAAACGGAAACCGAUCUCUCGUGACUUUGGGAUCGGUUCUGAGUUUCUUGGCAAACGAUCGGUGUAUAAACCAGCUGGUAGCUUAAUGGGUUCCGAAAUAUUCGACAAAAAGAUGGGCUCUGAGUUUCUGGGAAAGCAGACGGAUGACUUUGAAAACCAAAUUAAAGACGAAGUAGUUAAAACAACUCAAAACAAGCGGCUGAGCUCAACAUUUUUGGGAGAACGUUUGAAGGAUGUUGACAAUAAAUUCAUCUACAUCGGCUCCUCAUCAGAUCUCCAAAACAAACGGAUGGGGUCAAAAUUUUUGGCCAGAAAAAGACGAGAACUACAUCAAGCAACAUCAAGCCAGAAGUUCCCGCCAGAGGGUGUUGCGUUUAUAUAAGAUUCACGUGGAUAUUUACCACACAGCUCAUGCCUAAAGUCAGAGUACUAAAUUUAAUUAUGACAGGAUAAACCCUAUUAUAGAUAAUUCAUGAAGAUUGGAUUAAUAAAUAUAAUUAUAAAAGAAUAAAUCCUAUUGUAGAUCAUCCAUGAAUAUUGGAUUAAUAAACAUAAUUAUAA